UACGGGGGGAGCAAGCGUUGUUCGGAUUUACUGGGCGUAAAGGGCGCGUAGGCGGCCACCGCAAGUCAAUUGUGAAAUCUCCGGGCUUAACUCGGAAAGGUCAACUGAUACUGCGGGGCUAGAGUGCGGAAGGGGCAACUGGAAUUCUCGGUGUAGCGGUGAAAUGCGUAGAUAUCAUGAGGAAUACCAGAGGCGAAGGCGGCUACCUGGACAAUUGCUGACGCUCAGGCACGAAAGCGUGGGGAGCAAAAGGG
This 254-nucleotide ribosomal RNA is filed under the name uncultured bacterium. RNAcentral's name for it is "partial 16S ribosomal RNA". It matches the Rfam family "Bacterial small subunit ribosomal RNA", at positions 524 to 776 of the family's 1533-position model. The record is from RNAcentral.